Molecule: ribosomal RNA, 891 nt
Filed under: uncultured Staphylococcus sp.
Lineage: Bacteria; Bacillati; Bacillota; Bacilli; Caryophanales; Staphylococcaceae
Description: bacterial SSU rRNA
Rfam family: Bacterial small subunit ribosomal RNA
Source: RNAcentral
GUGCCUAAUACAUGCAAGUCGAGCGAACAGAUGAGAAGCUUGCUUCUCUGAUGUUAGCGGCGGACGGGUGAGUAACACGUGGGUAACCUACCUAUAAGACUGGGAUAACUCCGGGAAACCGGGGCUAAUACCGGAUAAUAUUUUGAACCGCAUGGUUCAAUAGUGAAAGACGGUUUCGGCUGUCACUUAUAGAUGGACCCGCGCCGUAUUAGCUAGUUGGUAAGGUAAUGGCUACCAAGGCGACGAUACGUAGCCGACCUGAGAGGGUGAUCGGCCACACUGGAACUGAGACACGGUCCAGACUCCUACGGGAGGCAGCAGUAGGGAAUCUUCCGCAAUGGGCGAAAGCCUGACGGAGCAACGCCGCGUGAGUGAUGAAGGUUUUCGGAUCGUAAAACUCUGUUGUUAGGGAAGAACAAAUUUGUUAGUAACUGAACAAGUCUUGACGGUACCUAACCAGAAAGCCACGGCUAACUACGUGCCAGCAGCCGCGGUAAUACGUAGGUGGCAAGCGUUAUCCGGAAUUAUUGGGCGUAAAGCGCGCGUAGGCGGUUUCUUAAGUCUGAUGUGAAAGCCCACGGCUCAACCGUGGAGGGUCAUUGGAAACUGGGAAACUUGAGUGCAGAAGAGGAGAGUGGAAUUCCAUGUGUAGCGGUGAAAUGCGCAGAGAUAUGGAGGAACACCAGUGGCGAAGGCGGCUCUCUGGUCUGUAACUGACGCUGAUGUGCGAAAGCGUGGGGAUCAAACAGGAUUAGAUACCCUGGUAGUCCACGCCGUAAACGAUGAGUGCUAAGUGUUAGGGGGUCUCCGCCCCUUAGUGCUGCAGCUAACGCAUUAAGCACUCCGCCUGGGGAGUACGACCGCAAGGUUGAAACUCAAAUGAAUUGACGG